RNAcentral lists this ribosomal RNA (1645 nucleotides) under Escherichia coli. RNAcentral's name for it is "partial 23S ribosomal RNA". It matches the Rfam family "Bacterial large subunit ribosomal RNA", at positions 1 to 1680 of the family's 2925-position model. Lineage: Bacteria; Pseudomonadati; Pseudomonadota; Gammaproteobacteria; Enterobacterales; Enterobacteriaceae. The record is from RNAcentral.
GGGUUGUGAGGUUAAGCGACUAAGCGUACACGGUGGAUGCCCUGGCAGUCAGAGGCGAUGAAGGACGUGCUAAUCUGCGAUAAGCGUCGGUAAGGUGAUAUGAACCGUUAUAACCGGCGAUUUCCGAAUGGGGAAACCCAGUGUGUUUCGACACACUAUCAUUAACUGAAUCCAUAGGUUAAUGAGGCGAACCGGGGGAACUGAAACAUCUAAGUACCCCGAGGAAAAGAAAUCAACCGAGAUUCCCCCAGUAGCGGCGAGCGAACGGGGAGGAGCCCAGAGCCUGAAUCAGUGUGUGUGUUAGUGGAAGCGUCUGGAAAGGCGCGCGAUACAGGGUGACAGCCCCGUACACAAAAAUGCACAUACUGUGAGCUCGAUGAGUAGGGCGGGACACGUGGUAUCCUGUCUGAAUAUGGGGGGACCAUCCUCCAAGGCUAAAUACUCCUGACUGACCGAUAGUGAACCAGUACCGUGAGGGAAAGGCGAAAAGAACCCCGGCGAGGGGAGUGAAAAAGAACCUGAAACCGUGUACGUACAAGCAGUGGGAGCACGCUUCGGCGUGUGACUGCGUACCUUUUGUAUAAUGGGUCAGCGACUUAUAUUCUGUAGCAAGGUUAACCGAAUAGGGGAGCCGAAGGGAAACCGAGUCUUAACUGGGCGUUAAGUUGCAGGGUAUAGACCCGAAACCCGGUGAUCUAGCCAUGGGCAGGUUGAAGGUUGGGUAACACUAACUGGAGGACCGAACCGACUAAUGUUGAAAAAUUAGCGGAUGACUUGUGGCUGGGGGUGAAAGGCCAAUCAAACCGGGAGAUAGCUGGUUCUCCCCGAAAGCUAUUUAGGUAGCGCCUCGUGAAUUCAUCUCCGGGGGUAGAGCACUGUUUCGGCAAGGGGGUCAUCCCGACUUACCAACCCGAUGCAAACUGCGAAUACCGGAGAAUGUUAUCACGGGAGACACACGGCGGGUGCUAACGUCCGUCGUGAAGAGGGAAACAACCCAGACCGCCAGCUAAGGUCCCAAAGUCAUGGUUAAGUGGGAAACGAUGUGGGAAGGCCCAGACAGCCAGGAUGUUGGCUUAGAAGCAGCCAUCAUUUAAAGAAAGCGUAAUAGCUCACUGGUCGAGUCGGCCUGCGCGGAAGAUGUAACGGGGCUAAACCAUGCACCGAAGCUGCGGCAGCGACACUAUGUGUUGUUGGGUAGGGGAGCGUUCUGUAAGCCUGUGAAGGUGUACUGUGAGGUAUGCUGGAGGUAUCAGAAGUGCGAAUGCUGACAUAAGUAACGAUAAAGCGGGUGAAAAGCCCGCUCGCCGGAAGACCAAGGGUUCCUGUCCAACGUUAAUCGGGGCAGGGUGAGUCGACCCCUAAGGCGAGGCCGAAAGGCGUAGUCGAUGGGAAACAGGUUAAUAUUCCUGUACUUGGUGUUACUGCGAAGGGGGGACGGAGAAGGCUAUGUUGGCCGGGCGACGGUUGUCCCGGUUUAAGCGUGUAGGCUGGUUUUCCAGGCAAAUCCGGAAAAUCAAGGCUGAGGCGUGAUGACGAGGCACUACGGUGCUGAAGCAACAAAUGCCCUGCUUCCAGGAAAAGCCUCUAAGCAUCAGGUAACAUUAAAUCGUACCCCAAACCGACACAGGUGGUCAGGUAGAGAAUA